Molecule: ribosomal RNA, 305 nt
Filed under: uncultured bacterium
Lineage: Bacteria
Description: bacterial SSU rRNA
Rfam family: Bacterial small subunit ribosomal RNA
Source: RNAcentral
UCCUACGGGGGGCAGCAGUGGGGAAUUUUGGACAAUGGGCGCAAGCCUGAUCCAGCUAUUCCGCGUGUGGGAUGAAGGCCCUCGGGUUGUAAACCACUUUUGUAGAGAACGAAAAGACACCUUCGAAUAAAGGGUGUUGCUGACGGUACUCUAAGAAUAAGCACCGGCUAACUACGUGCCAGCAGCCGCGGUAAUACGUAGGGUGCGAGCGUUAUCCGGAUUUAUUGGAUUUAAAGGGUGCGUAGGCGGAUUUUUAAGUCAGCGGUAAAAUGUCCGGGCUCAACCCGGGCCGGCCGUUGAAACUG